AAGUUUGUUAAGCGUUGUGCGCCGCGGCCGGGCGCGGUGAUUCACGCCUGUAAUCCCAGCACUUUGGGGGGCCGAGGCGGGCGGAUCACGACGUCAGGAGAUAGAGACCAUUCUGGCUAACACGGUGAAACCCCGUCUCUACUAAAAAUACAAAAACAAAAUUAGCUGGGCGUGGUGGCGGGCGCCUGUAGUCCCAGUUACUCGGGAGGCUGAGGUGGGAGAAUGGCGGGAACCCGGGAGGCGGAGUUUGCAGUGAGCCGAGAUUGCGCCACUGCACUCCAGCCUGGGCGACAGAGCAAGACUACGUAUCAAAAAAAAAAAAAAAAAAAUGCGUUGUGCGCCGGGCUGAAACCGGCAUAAAACUGGGCAGAGCUAUGCAGUCAGCUACCCCUUCCCCCCCACCCCUACCCCCCCACACCCCCCUCGCGCCCGCUCCGCUACGUAUUCCCGGGUGCCUGGCAACAGUGAUGUGCUUUAGGCCUUUUUUAGAAUGCAUACAAACGGAACCAUAUCUAAGUGAUGUCUGGCUUUUUUAACUUAGCACAAUGCUUUGAGAUUCAUACUAUUGUGUUUAAUUAGUAAUUCAUUUGUGUUAUUGCUGAAUGGUAGUCUAUCGUAUGGGUAAGCCACAGUUUAUUUAUCCAUUCACCAAUUGAUGGGCCUGUCGGUUGUAGGGAACAGGAGAAAACUUCCCCUUUGCCCUCUGAAGGGUCACCGAAAAUCAACUGACAAGGCUGGGCCUGUAACCCCAGCCCUUUUUUAGCCCAAGGCAGGAGGAUCUCUUCUUUGUGAAGUGUGUAUUCAUAUCUUUUGACCAUUUAUUUAUUAGCUAGCUUGACUUUUUAUCUAAGAGUUCUUUAUAUAUUAUUGAGUUCUUUAUAUGUUUCAUACCAUGUUCUUUAUUAGCUAUACGUUUUGAAAUGUUUUCUACCUGUCUGUGGCUUGCCUCUUCAUUUUAAGUGUCUUUUGAAGCACUGAAGUUUUAAAUUUUGAUGUAUUUUAUCCAUUUUUUUCUUUUACAUAGUUCAUACCUUUUUUGUCCUACUUAAGACAUUUUUGCUAAAUUCAAGAUUAUAAGAUUUCCUCAUUUGUUACCUUCUGGAAGUUUUAUAAUUGUUGGUCUUCAUUAUAUUUAAAAUGAAUUAUUCUUUAUAGUAUCGAUAGAUGCUGGAGGCAGAUAAGGGAGGGUCCCUGGAGAAUCUCUGACCUGCCCCACAAGCUUUUGUGCAGCUGAGGAAGCCUGCCUAGGGUCUUGUCUGGGCAUGCCCACAAGGGACUUGGGGGCUCACUGCACCGGGAGAGUGGGGUGCAGCCAGAGGGAAUUCAGCCUUAUGCAGCAGGGAGGAGCAAGAAGUUUUCAGCUUGUGUGUGUUGGCCUGUUAUUCAGUCUGUGAGCUGGGAGCCUGUUGGCAGGACCCUCCUUGUUUUUUUGCUGAGAGCUUUUAAUAAAUGCCACUCUUCACCUUGCAAUGUAUUCACAUGCCUAAUUGUUCCUGGUCAUGAGACAAGAACCUGGAUUUUAGCUGAGCUAAGGAGCAAAAAUUCCUGCAUCAGUAUGAGAUUCAUUUCACUACCAGGUCAAAGACACAAUCAAAAGCCCGACAAAUGGAAUUUGUGGAAUUGGAACAAAAAGCUUUUCUUCCUAGGCACAAGAACAUCAAAGCAUAAAUCCUUCAGGUAUCAGCAAUGACAUCACUUAAGAAUUUCUCAGAAUCUUUGGCACCACCCCAGGCCUACCGGAUCAGAAUCUGAAUUUUUUAACAAGAUCUCAGAUCUAGUCAAGAGUCCAGUCUGAUUUCUCUUUAUUGGGACUACCACCCAAAGCAGAAUGAGGAUGAUGUAACCACGCCCAGUGACUUCUGGAUACCACUGACUCUAGGCAUUUUGCAGAUCCUGAAUUCCAGCAGAAUGGCUGACACCAACUGGUCUGAAGACCCUCACCAAGGAACUGACUCAGCGCAGGAAUGCAGUUUCUUCCUCUCCCUAUCCCUGACUUCACCCCUCACUUCUCAACCAAUCAGUGAUCACCACACUUUAGGCCAUCACCUGUGUCCAGACCCCUUAAAAACCCCAUCUGCAAACCUCUUGAAGAGGCAUAUUUGAGGUUUCCUCUCAUCUCCUCAUUUGGUUUCCCUACAAUUAUUAAAUUCUUUCUCUGUGGCAACUCCUACUUUUUCAGUGUAUUGGUCUGUUACUGUGCAACAGGAAAUCAGACCUGGUGGUCCUAUAGUAAGAGUUCACAGAAUAUGAUAUACAAAGUGAUCUGUGAUAUACAAAAACCGGCACAAUCUCACUCUUAAUAAGAAAAAUUCAACUUAAAAUUAAAAGUUUUUUUUCCUCAGAAUGGCAAAGAUCAAAGUUUGAUAACAUGGUUGGAAAGUAUGCAGACCGAUAUUCUCAUAUUCAUUGAUGAAGUGUAAAUUGAUACAUCCUUUGUCAGUACGGACAGGUUUCCCAACUCUAGGGGUGAAAUUUAUACAGACUACAGUGUGAAUGACAACCACUUCAAAUUGGGUGAUAUGAUGACCUUGACUCUGUGGAGGGUCAUUUGGCAAAAUAUCUCAAAAUAAAAAUGUACAUACAAUUUGACUCAGUGAUUUUGCUUUCUGGAAUGUUUCCUGCAUGUGUGAAUUUAUAUAUGUACAAUGAAAUGCUUCACA
Molecule: long non-coding RNA, 2660 nt
Organism: Gorilla gorilla gorilla (western lowland gorilla)
Lineage: Eukaryota; Metazoa; Chordata; Mammalia; Primates; Hominidae
Exons: 5
Source: RefSeq, a predicted model, not a curated record